CGGGGAAUUUUGGACAAUGGGCGCAAGCCUGAUCCAGCCAUGCCGCGUGCGGGAAGAAGGCCUUCGGGUUGUAAACCGCUCUUGUCAGGGAAGAAACGCUCUGGGCUAAUACCCUGGGGUAAUGACGGUACCUGAAGAAUAAGCACCGGCUAACUACGUGCCAGCAGCCGCGGUAAUACGUAGGGUGCAAGCGUUAAUCGGAAUUACUGGGCGUAAAGCGUGCGCAGGCGGUUAUGCAAGACAGAUGUGAAAUCCCCGGGCUCAACCUGGGAACUGCAUUUGUGACUGUAUAGCUAGAGUACGGUAGAGGGGGAUGGAAUUCCGCGUGUAGCAGUGAAAUGCGUAGAUAUGCGGAGGAACACCGAUGGCGAAGGCAAUCCCCUGGACCUGUACUGACGCUCAG
Molecule: ribosomal RNA, 403 nt
Filed under: uncultured bacterium
Lineage: Bacteria
Description: bacterial SSU rRNA
Rfam family: Bacterial small subunit ribosomal RNA
Source: RNAcentral